This 73-nucleotide transfer RNA is filed under the name Camelus bactrianus (Bactrian camel). It matches the Rfam family "tRNA". From Rfam's summary of the family: Transfer RNA (tRNA) molecules are approximately 80 nucleotides in length. RNAcentral also lists the same sequence under 3 other names. Lineage: Eukaryota; Metazoa; Chordata; Mammalia; Artiodactyla; Camelidae. The record is from Rfam by way of RNAcentral.
GAGGGUAUAGCUCAAGUGGUAGAGCACAUGCUUAGCAUACACAAGGUCCUGGGUUCAAUCUCCAGUACCUCCU